RNAcentral lists this ribosomal RNA (426 nucleotides) under uncultured eukaryote. Its description in RNAcentral is "bacterial SSU rRNA". It matches the Rfam family "Eukaryotic small subunit ribosomal RNA", at positions 1240 to 1677 of the family's 1831-position model. The record is from RNAcentral.
UUGACGGACUGAAGGCUCUUUCUCGAUUCCGUGGAAAGUGGUGCAUGGCCGUUUUGGUUGGUGGAUCGAUCCGUCUGGUUAAUUCCGUUAACGAACGAGACCUCGGCACUCCGAAUAGCGCGGCGGACGUCGCGGCCUCCGGGCCGUCUUCCGCACGAGCUUCUUAGAGGGACCGUCCCCCGCCGGGGAAGGAGGUGCGAGGCAACGACAGGUCUGUGAUGCCCUUAGAUGUUCUGGGCCGCACGCGCAUUACACUGACGCGUCCAACGGGUGACUCCCGACCCGAAGGGGCCGGGGAAUCCGCAAGGCGCGUCGUGAUGGGGAUUGAACGUUGCAAUUGUUGUUCACGAACGAGGAAUUCCUAGUAGGCGCGGGUCAUCAACCCCGCGCCGAUUACGUCCCUGCCCUUUGUACACACCGCCCGUC